AAUGGGCGAAAGCCUGAUGCAGCAACGCCGCGUGAAGGAAGAAGGGUUUCGGCUCGUAAACUUCUAUCAAUAGGGAAGAAAGAAAUGACGGUACCUAAAUAAGAAGCCCCGGCUAACUACGUGCCAGCAGCCGCGGUAAUACGUAGGGGGCAAGCGUUAUCCGGAAUUACUGGGUGUAAAGGGAGAGUAGGCGGCAUGAUAAGUUAGAUGUGAAAGCCCGGGGCUUAACCUCGGGAUUGCAUUUAAAACUAUUGAGCUAGAGUACAGGAGAGGAAAGCGGAAUUCCUAGUGUAGCGGUGAAAUGCGUAGAUAUUAGGAAGAACACCAGUGGCGAAGGCGGCUUUCUGGACUGAAACUGACGCUGAGGCUCGAAAGCGUGGGGAGCGAA
Molecule: ribosomal RNA, 388 nt
Filed under: uncultured bacterium
Lineage: Bacteria
Description: bacterial SSU rRNA
Rfam family: Bacterial small subunit ribosomal RNA
Source: RNAcentral